RNAcentral lists this ribosomal RNA (1470 nucleotides) under uncultured bacterium. RNAcentral describes it as "bacterial SSU rRNA". It matches the Rfam family "Bacterial small subunit ribosomal RNA". The record is from RNAcentral.
GACGAACGCUGGCGGCGUGCCUAAUACAUGCAAGUAGAACGCUGAAGAGAGGAGCUUGCUCUUCUUGGAUGAGUUGCGAACGGGUGAGUAACGCGUAGGUAACCUGCCUUGUAGCGGGGGAUAACUAUUGGAAACGAUAGCUAAUACCGCAUAACAAUGGAUGACACAUGUCAUUUAUUUGAAAGGGGCAAUUGCUCCACUACAAGAUGGACCUGCGUUGUAUUAGCUAGUAGGUGAGGUAACGGCUCACCUAGGCGACGAUACAUAGCCGACCUGAGAGGGUGAUCGGCCACACUGGGACUGAGACACGGCCCAGACUCCUACGGGAGGCAGCAGUAGGGAAUCUUCGGCAAUGGGGGCAACCCUGACCGAGCAACGCCGCGUGAGUGAAGAAGGUUUUCGGAUCGUAAAGCUCUGUUGUAAGUCAAGAACGAGUGUGAGAGUGGAAAGUUCACACUGUGACGGUAGCUUACCAGAAAGGGACGGCUAACUACGUGCCAGCAGCCGCGGUAAUACGUAGGUCCCGAGCGUUGUCCGGAUUUAUUGGGCGUAAAGCGAGCGCAGGCGGUUUGAUAAGUCUGAAGUUAAAGGCUGUGGCUCAACCAUAGUUCGCUUUGGAAACUGUCAAACUUGAGUGCAGAAGGGGAGAGUGGAAUUCCAUGUGUAGCGGUGAAAUGCGUAGAUAUAUGGAGGAACACCGGUGGCGAAAGCGGCUCUCUGGUCUGUAACUGACGCUGAGGCUCGAAAGCGUGGGGAGCGAACAGGAUUAGAUACCCUGGUAGUCCACGCCGUAAACGAUGAGUGCUAGGUGUUGGAUCCUUUCCGGGAUUCAGUGCCGCAGCUAACGCAUUAAGCACUCCGCCUGGGGAGUACGACCGCAAGGUUGAAACUCAAAGGAAUUGACGGGGGCCCGCACAAGCGGUGGAGCAUGUGGUUUAAUUCGAAGCAACGCGAAGAACCUUACCAGGUCUUGACAUCCCGAUGCUAUUUCUAGAGAUAGAAAGUUACUUCGGUACAUCGGUGACAGGUGGUGCAUGGUUGUCGUCAGCUCGUGUCGUGAGAUGUUGGGUUAAGUCCCGCAACGAGCGCAACCCCUAUUGUUAGUUGCCAUCAUUCAGUUGGGCACUCUAACGAGACUGCCGGUAAUAAACCGGAGGAAGGUGGGGAUGACGUCAAAUCAUCAUGCCCCUUAUGACCUGGGCUACACACGUGCUACAAUGGUUGGUACAACGAGUUGCGAGUCGGUGACGGCAAGCUAAUCUCUUAAAGCCAAUCUCAGUUCGGAUUGUAGGCUGCAACUCGCCUACAUGAAGUCGGAAUCGCUAGUAAUCGCGGAUCAGCACGCCGCGGUGAAUACGUUCCCGGGCCUUGUACACACCGCCCGUCACACCACGAGAGUUUGUAACACCCGAAGUCGGUGAGGUAACCUUUUGGAGCCAGCCGCCUAAGGUGGGAUAGAUGAUUGGGGUG